Long non-coding RNA from Carassius auratus (goldfish), 3915 nucleotides. NCBI's taxonomy places the organism in Eukaryota, Metazoa, Chordata, Actinopteri, Cypriniformes, Cyprinidae. The record is from Ensembl.
CUACUGUACUUCUAGGAUUUAAGGGGAUUAUGAUGAGUUAUUUAUCUGAAGUGCUGUACUUUUUAUGUUUGAGGACAGUGCUGUUCACUUGAAUCACUACACUGAAUGAGUACAUUUUAUUUUUUAACAAUUUCACUGUUCCACGUUUGGCUGAUCUUUUUUUUUUUUUUUUUUUCUACAGCAUAGCUACUGUAUAUUCCUAACGUUAACAAUGUGGUUUUGUUCACAUUUUCUUGCAGAUACCUUGACCGGAGCAUAACUGGUUAACUUCACACAAGAGACCUACUGUUGGACAAUCGUUUUGGCUUUAAAGGUAAAUGCAUUGUUAGUUACAAUGUCUAGUUACUGGGCCAAAAGGAGACGAAUAUUGAAAGGAGUUGAGAGGGACAAACAGGAAAUUGCAGCUGCAAACGAUGCUCUACUUGCUGUUAUUCCUGACUUUGACCAAGUAAAUCCUCCUGUUAAUGAACAUCAACAUGGAAUGGCUUCAACAAGCCAUGGACAAACUGUAACCCCUGAAGCACAGGAAAUAACUGUUGAUGAGGUGUAUGAACCUAGUGAAAUUUUUUCCUCAAGCACAGAAGAUAGUGAGGAGGAAGAGGAUUGCCUAAGGACACAAUUGGCAGGGUGGGCUAUUGACAACAUGAUCCCCCAUGUGGCACUGGGUAAGCUUUUAACCAUUUUGUUAUUGGCCCCCAUUUAACCUCCGCAAAAAAGACAAAGGCAACAAUUUAGCCAUCCGCUGCACGCCUCCACACAGCACCUGGGAGAAACAUCAUUUUAAGUUUAUGAAGGGAGCAGAAUGUUGGCAAGAGGCGAUGAGAUAUUUGGUGCGCUUCCAAACAGGUUCUAGCGUUGAAACGACGGACGAUGACAAGAAGAGAAAGAGAAAGAGAAUCUCAAAUUCCAAGUACAGACCCCAGGCCUCUUCUGAUGAAGAGGAGUCUAGUCUUCCAGAUGCACCAGCAGUGCUGUCGUUUGGGCAACCUCUUUUGAGCUUUGAAAACAUUGUUCCUGGUAACAAGGUUUCAGUGCUGCCCGAUGCUCCAGAAGUUGCAUCGAUUCCAGAAAACCAGGAAAAUGUUGUGCCAUCUGUAGACUUCAGAGGUGAACCAGGUUUCUCCCCAGAAAUUCAGACUCCACUUCACAGAGCCAAGAGUUUGAGUACAAGACACUUGACUGGUUACUCGCCGCAGCAGUUUCUGGAUGAAAGGUGUCGAGCUCGUCAAGUACUAAGCUUUACACCCCCAGCAGCAAAUUUACCCUGGCAGCAUAUGGGUGAAAACGCUGGAGGAGAAAGUCAUCGCUCUGUAAUUGGCCCUUGGACUCCCCUGGCAUCUCGUGUACAGCAUGAAGUUUUCAGCUAUGAAGAUUUCCAGAGACUCCAGAAUGAAAAACAAGCCGUGAUGGAGGAGAACCAAGCCCUUAGGGAGGAGAACCAAGCUCUGAGGGAGGAGAACCAAGCUCUGAGGGAAAGCACUGCACGAGCAGCUUCGGAUGACAGCGGCUCACUUCAAGAGCAGGUGAAGCAAGUUGGGACAAUGUUGAAGACGUUUGCUCGCACUGGGCAAUCAGGUGCAGAUCAGACCUUAAUGCUGCGACGUCUUGGAGAGUUUGGCGAUGUUGUGCGUAGCAUGGACAACAAAAUGGACACUAUGCUGCAACAUUUCAGUGCCAAUGUGUCUGUUGGAGAGUUAUCCCUGCCAGGGGAUCUGUUACUCCCCCUAGACACCCAGGAAGAUUUGGUGUUGCUUGACAACAGUUUGAGGCAGGAUAAAGAGCUCCAGGAACGAUUUGUAAGUGUGCUGAUUUCGUUUAUAACUCCAUAGGGUAAUCUAAAAAGUAGAAUUAAGAUUGUACACUGCAUAUUCUACAGUCUGAAUCCAUAGCCUGUCACAUUUUAUAUUUAUGUAUGAUAAGCUUCAGAGAAAUGUAAUUUGUAACACUUUUUUUGGAUUUUCAGCUUCGGUUUUUGGCAAUCAAAUGUGGGAGGGACCUAAAGACAACCGUCUGGCGGAUGCUUCAAAGUAUCUUCUCUAAUCACCUUUCCAUCAAUACAACCUGGACUGGAGUUGGGGAUAAAGCAUGUUUUAGAGACAUGUUCCUGAAGACCAUUGUUCAAAGUAAGUUGGAUGUAAAAAAAAAAAAAAAAAAAAAAAAAUAUGUUUAGUAGAUGUGUAUGGCAUUAUGCCAUUCAAAUGGAAUGACAGAUCUGUAUUUUCUACAGGAGCCAUCCGGAAGAACCCGGCAACACAGGAUGCCACUGAUGAAGCCAUCCAGGUUAACGUUACGCGUUACCUGAAAGGAGCAUCUGACCGUGAAGGCGGAAAAAGGCGCCGCACAGCUGAGAGGGACCCACAGCCGACCCCUUAAACCUAGGCUGACUACUGACAUCCCAGCAUCACUGACAACUGGAACCCUUUCUUUAUCCUGCAGUCAGUAACAUCAAGACCCCUAAAGAAGCCAGAAGUGUCAGACUGCACUCCCCAAUCCACACUGUUCACUGUGGAUAUUAUCAUAGUGCUUAACUUAUUAUAUUGUUAAAUAUAGCUUGUAAAUCCUUGUGCCACAGGUCAGCAUUGCAGUUAUAUCUGUUCUACUACUUUUUUUACCUCAGUAUUUUUUAUAUAUAUUUGAAGAUGUUUAUCACAGAUACAAGAGACAUCUUGUACCCCAGGUCAGCAAUGCCAUUAUAAUGGUCUAUUCUACUCCAGAGCUUUAUUCUAAAUUAUUACCACUUAUCUUAUUGUUAGAAAUGGCUUGUAAAUGUGAUGUUAUACCUGAAUUUUUUUUGGUGUCCUGCACAUUCUUUGGUACCAGAUAUACUCAUUACUUAUGUUUUCUGGUAAUUCUUUUCAUGCCAGAGCUGACCUCUUUAUAUUAUUAACAAUUAUUGUAAGUGUUAUAAUUUGCUUGUAAGCUAAGGCUGUUUUUUUUUUUUUUUUACAAUUUAAUUGGAAACCUGCAUGUGUGUGUGUGUGUGUGUGUGUGUGUGUGUGUAUUUAUUUUAUUUUUUUCUCUUUUUUUCUGUUAUUUAUAUUUCAGGGAUCUGACAUCAUGUUUCAAUGACAGUUACUGUACUUUGAAAUGUGGAAUUAAAACGUCAAAUGGAAAUUUGUCUGGUUUGAUCAAUCAUUAUUCUUGAUAAACUGCAUUAUAUAUAUAAUAUAUAAUAUAUAUAUAAAUAAAUAAAUAAGCAAGCGGCGACCGAUCGCUCGAAAAUAGCGUUUGCCUCCGACGGGCCGCGGAAGGGUCGCCUUUGAUAUAACGGCGGCGGGACGGCGGUUGGCCCGCGGGCCGGCCGCGGAACGAAGGCGGUAGGAAGGCGGCUGCCGCUUCUAAAAAGCGGCUGCCGCCGGCGGUGCACCGUCAAACGUGUUUGCGAUUACGCUAUUCUGACGCUUCUACUGCCGCCGGAGCGCCGCCGGCGGUCCGCCGACUCAUUGCUAUCUGGGAUGUCACAGAACUCUUCCCGCGCUCUCCGUCAGAAUUCAAACAUUAACGGUCGAACUUGGCGGCUGUUCGCUUUCUUAUGUGUGAUUAUUUUCAUAUAACGUUUUGGGCACUUCCAUUUUAACAAAUAAAGUGAAAGUACCACAAAACAUGAAACGAAGAUGUCUUGGACGAGGAGAGCUCGUCCAAAUUUGUGGUAAGAAAUAAUAUCCUUUUAUUAUCAUAGUUAAGCUUAAUCGCGUUUGUGAACGUUACGUAAUUUGGAGCAAUUUAUUUAAUGAAAGUAGGUGUAUUCUGGUCGUCAUCGUGGACAUUGUGUCUCCACCAUUAUGCUUUUCAUCACUUAAAGGUCUUCAGGAUGUAAUUUUGAUUAAAUUUGGGCUUUGUCUGAUUCAAGGUAAUGUUAUACCCUCACUAAUCGCGAUGCGCUGUAUAAAUCCCCUUCAGACAUAGUAAACGGAU